Molecule: small nuclear RNA, 164 nt
Organism: Pelodiscus sinensis (Chinese soft-shelled turtle)
Lineage: Eukaryota; Metazoa; Chordata; Testudines; Trionychidae
Rfam family: U1 spliceosomal RNA
About the family: U1 is a small nuclear RNA (snRNA) component of the spliceosome (involved in pre-mRNA splicing). Its 5' end forms complementary base pairs with the 5' splice junction, thus defining the 5' donor site of an intron.
Source: Rfam
AUAUAUACCCAGCAGGGGAGAGAUCGUGAUUACGAAGGUUGUUUUCCCAGCGUGAGGCACAUCCAUUGCACUGUGGGUGCGCUGACCCCUGUGAUUUUCCCCAAAUACGGGAAACUCGACUGCAUGAUUUGUGGUGGUGAUUAAAAAUAAUAAUCUUUGAUCAG